Molecule: ribosomal RNA, 502 nt
Filed under: uncultured bacterium
Lineage: Bacteria
Description: partial 16S ribosomal RNA
Rfam family: Bacterial small subunit ribosomal RNA
Source: RNAcentral
AUUGAACGCUGGCGGCAUGCCUUACACAUGCAAGUCGAACGGCAGCACGGGAGCAAUCCUGGUGGCGAGUGGCGCACGGGUGAGUAAUAUAUCGGAACGUGCCCAGUCGUGGGGGAUAACGCAGCGACACAUGUGCUAAUACCGCAUACGAUCUAAGGAUGAAAGCGGGGGAUCGCAAGACCUCGCGCGAUUGGACCGGCCGAGAUCAUGUAUUAGCUAGUUGGUGGGGUAAAGGCCCGCCAAGGCGACGAUCUGUAGCUGGUCUGAGAGGACGACCAGCGACACUGGAACUGAGACACGGGCCAGAGUCCUACGCGAGGCAGCAGUGGGGAAUUUUGGAGAAUGGGCGCAAGCCUGAUCCAGCAAUGCCGCGUGCAGGAUGAAGGCCUUCGGGUUGUAAACUGCUUUUGUACGGAACGAAACGGCCCUUUCUAAUACAGGGGGCUAAUGACGGUACCGUAAGACUAAGCACCGGCUAACUACGUGCCAGCCGCCGCUGUAA